UUUUAACCGCUCUUCGCCACAUCAUAGCGACAGCCAAUGGGUGGACUUGAGGAGCAAACACCCUGAGCAACCCCGAAAGGAGAGAGCCAUGUCUUUUGAAUUACCUGCCUUACCUUAU
Molecule: small RNA, 118 nt
Filed under: Yersinia rohdei ATCC 43380
Lineage: Bacteria; Pseudomonadati; Pseudomonadota; Gammaproteobacteria; Enterobacterales; Yersiniaceae
Description: SodB 5' UTR thermometer
Rfam family: SodB 5' UTR thermometer
About the family: Involved in protection against oxidative stress.
Source: Rfam by way of RNAcentral